Molecule: non-coding RNA, 55 nt
Organism: Poecilia formosa (Amazon molly)
Lineage: Eukaryota; Metazoa; Chordata; Actinopteri; Cyprinodontiformes; Poeciliidae
Source: Rfam
GGCAGUUGUAUUGGUACUUCCAUUUGUGGAACUGGGUUCAAUUCCCAGGACUGCC